GAUGAACGCUGGCGGUGUGCCUAAUACAUGCGAGUCGAGCGAACAGACGAGGAGCUUACUCCUCUGACGUUAGCGGCGGACGGGUGAGUAACACGUGGAUAACCUACCUAUAAGACUGGGAUAACUUCGGGAAACCGGAGCUAAUACCGGAUAACAUGUUGAACCGCAUGGUUCAACAGUGAAAGACGGUCUUGCUGUCACUUAUAGAUGGAUCCGCGUCGCAUUAGCUAGUUGGUAAGGUAACGGCUUACCAAGGCAACGAUGCGUAGCCGACCUGAGAGGGUGAUCGGCCACACUGGAACUGAGACACGGUCCAGACUCCUACGGGAGGCAGCAGUAGGGAAUCUUCCGCAAUGGGCGAAAGCCUGACGGAGCAAUGCCGCGUGAGUGAAGAAGGUCUUCGGAUCGUAAAACUCUGUUAUUAGGGAAGAACAAAUGUGUAAGUAACUAUGCACGUCUUGACGGUACCUAAUCAGAAAGCCACGGCUAACUACGUG
This 497-nucleotide ribosomal RNA is filed under the name uncultured bacterium. Its description in RNAcentral is "partial 16S ribosomal RNA". It matches the Rfam family "Bacterial small subunit ribosomal RNA", at positions 28 to 507 of the family's 1533-position model. The record is from RNAcentral.